UGACUAUGUAGCAGUUAAGGAAAAAACUGAAGAACCAGUAGUUGAGGAAAAACAUGAAGAACCGGCAAUUGAAGAGAAAUCUGAAGAAUCAGCAUUAAUGAAAAAAACUGAAGAACCAGCGGUUGAGGUAAAACCUGAAGAACCGUCAGUGGAAAAGAAGCCUGAAGAACCAGCGGUUAGGAAAAAACCUGAAGAACCAGCAGUUAAUGAGGAACCUGAAAAAUCAGCAACGGAAGAGAAACCUGAAGAACCAAUUGUUGAGGAGAAACUUGAAGAACCAACUCUUGAAGAGAAACCUGGAAAAUCAGUAAUUGAAGAAACACCUGAAGAACCAACACUGGAAGUAACACCUAAAGAACAAGCGUUUAAAGAGAAACCAGAAGAACCAGCAGUUGAAGAGGAAAAAUCUGACAAGGUAACUCUUUUGGAAAAGGUGAGCAUCAAACAUUGUCACAAAUUUUAGCCAUCCUACUAGUUCUGUAUGUGCAAUAAUUCGUAUCAACUUAUCUAUUGAAAGACUAAGUGAAACUUUAAUUCUUCUUGCAGAAUAUACCAGUUGUAGAUUUCAAUGAUAAGACUGACAGUGUAAUUCCAUGCAAUACCAACGACGAUGUUGCUGAAUACGUAGCAGUUGAGGAAAACCUUGAAGAACCAACAGUUGAGGAGAAACCUGAAGAAUUAGCGGUUGAAGAGAAACCUGAAAAACCAGCAAUUGAGGAGAAAAGUGAAGAACCAAUAAUUGAGAAGAAACCUAAAGAACCAGCAGUUGAGGAGAAACCUGAAGAACAAACCGUUGAAGAGAAACUUGAAGAACCAACAAUUGAAGAUGAGAAACUUGAAAGGGUAACUCUCCUAGAAAAGGUGAGGAUCUAGCAUUGUCACAAAGUUUGUCCAUCCUAAUAGUUUUAUAUGUGCAAGCUUUUCAGAUCUGCUUAUCUAUUGAAAGACUAAGUGAAACUUUAAAUUCUUCUUACAGAAUAUGCCAGUUGUAGACUCGAACGACAAGACUGACUGUGAAAUUCCAUGCAACACCAACAAUGAUGUUGCUUACUAUCCAGCAGUUGAGGAAAAUCUUGAAAAAACAACAAUUGAGGAAACAACUGAUGAACCAGUGGUUGAAGAGAAACCUGAUGCACAAGCGAUUAAGGAGAAACCUGAAGUACCAACGAUUGAGCAGAAACUUGAAGAGUUAGCAGGAGAGGAAACCCAUGAAGAACUAGCAGUUGAAGAGAAGCUAGAAGAACCAAUUACUGAAGAGACACCUGCAGAACUAGUUAUUGAAGAGAAACAUGAAAACCCAACAAUUGAAGAGGAGAAACCUGAAACAGAAGCUCUCCUAAAGAAGGUUAGGAUUAAACACUGUUUCAAAAUUUAUCCAUCCUAUUAGCUUUAUAUGUGCAAGGAACUCACAUAUGUUAAUCUACUGAAAGACUAAGUCAAACUUUCAAGUUUUCUUGCAGAAUAUGCCAAUUGUAGACUCAAAGGACAAGAUUGACGUUGAAAGUCCAGGCAAUAACAACAAUGAUGGUGCUGACUAUCCAGCAGUUGAAGAUAAACCUGAAGAACUAACAGUUGAAGAAAAACAUGAAGAACAAGCAAUUGAAGAGAAACCUGAAGAACCAGUGGCCACAGAGAAACCUGAAGAACCAGCGAUUAAGGAAAAAGCUGAUGAACCAGCAGUGCAAGAGAAACCUGAAGAACCAGCUGUGGAAAAGAAACCUGAAGAACCAGCAGUCGAGGAGAAACUUGACGAACCACCAGUUGAAGAGAAAUCAGAAGAACCAGUAGUUGAACAAACACCUGCAGGACCAGCAUGGGAAGAAACAUCUAAAGAACUAGCAUUUGAAGAGAAACCUGAAGAACCAGCAGUUGAAAAAACACCUGAAGAACUAGCAGUUGGAAAGAACCCUGAAAAAACAGCAGUCGGAGAGAAACAUGAAAAAGUAACUCUCUUGGAAAAGGUGAGGAUCAAGCACAAUCACAAAUUUUAUCCAUCCUAUUAGUUAUGUAUGCGCAACAAUUCACAUUUGCCUGUUGGAAGAUUAAGUUAAACUUUAAAUUCUUCUUGCAGAAUAUACCAAUUAUAGAGUUAAACGAGAAGAAUAACAGUGCAACUCCAUGCAAUACCAACAAUGAUGUUGCUGACUAUCCAGCAGUUGAGGAAAAACCUGAAGAACCAGCGAUUGAGAAAAAACCUGAAGAACCAAUGGCUAAGGAGAAACUUGAAGAACCAAUUGUUGAGGAUAAACCUGAAAAAUCAGUGAUAGAGGAGAAAUCUGAAAAACUAGCAACUGAAGAAACACUUGGAGAGCAAGCAGGGGAGGAAACACCUGAAGCACUAGCAGUUGAAGAGAAACCUGACAAAUCAACAGUUGAAGAGACAGUUGAAGAACUAGCUAUUGAACAGAAACCUAAAAAAACAGCAGUUGAAAAAGAGAAACCUGAAGCCGUAACUCUCCUGGAAAAGGUGAUCAAGCACUGUCACAGAGAUUCCUUGCUCUAUACGUGCAAGGAAUUUACAUCUACUUAUCUACUGAAAGAUUUAGUGAAACUUUAAAUUCUUCUUGCAGAAUAUGCCAGUUGUAGAUUCAAAGGACAAGAUUAACAGUGAAAUUCCAUGCAAUGCCAACAAUGAUGUUUUUGACUAUCCAGCAGUUGAGGCAAAACCUGAAGAACUAGCAAUUGAAAAAAAAUAUGAAGAACCAGUAGUUAUAUUGGAGAAACCUGCAGAACUAGCAGUUGAGGAGACACCUGAAAAAUCAGUAGUUGAAGAGAAGCCUGAAAAACCAGCAGCACGGGAAGAAGCACUUGAAGAACCAGCAUGGGAAGAAACACCUGAAGAACCAACAGUUGAAGAGAAACUUGAUAAACCAGCAACUGAAAAAGAGAAACCUGAAAAGGUAACUUUCCGCGAAAAGGUGAGGAUCAAGCACUAUCACAAAGUUCGCCCAUCCUAAUAGUCUUGUAUGUGCAAGGAAUUCACAUAUGCUUUUUUAUUGAAAGACUAAGUGAAACCUUCAAUUCUUCUUGCAGAAUAUGCCUGUUGUAGACUCAAAUGGUAAGACUGGCAGUAAAAUUACAUGCACUACCAAAAAAGAUGUUGCUGAUAAUCCAGCAGUUGAGGAUGAAGAACCAGCAGUUGAGGAUAAACCUGAUGAACCAACAGUUGAAGAAAAACCUGAAGAACCAGCAAUUGAAGGAAAACUUGAGAAACUGGCAGUUGAAGAUAAACUUGAGGAACCAGCUUUUGAACAGAACCCUGAGGAAACAGCAGUUGAACAGAACCCCGAGGAACCGCCAGUUGAAGAAAAACCUGAGGUACCAGUAGUUGACGAAAAAGCUGAAGAACUAGUGGUUGAAGAGAAACUUGAAGAACCAUCAGUUAAAGAAAAGCCGGAAGAACAAAGCAGGGAAGAAACCGAAGCUCCCAUAAAAGAGGCAAAGCAUAACCAGAAUGCAAAUGAAGCAAGCAGCAGUCUGCCAACAGCUAUGCUAAGCCAUCCGCCUGCUCAAGGGACAACAAUGACCAACCCAAUAUUGGGAGAACCAAUUAGUAUUGACGAACCUAAAAAUGUGCAACAGCUAGAUUCUCAAGAAAUAUCAGAAAUCGAUGAUGCAAUGCAGAGAGAUGAAGAUAACAUAAAGCAGAAGGAUGAGGCUUCUUUCACUGAAGAACAGAAGUUUACACCACAGAGUGAGUAAUACUAGUUCACAGACAUGCUUUCCCUAUCCAAUUGAUUUUAUUUGCAAUGGAAAAUGGUGACACACUUUAGAUAACAGAUCAAAUCGAUUUAACCAUAGUCUUACUCGCAAAAAGUAGAGAAAAAUACAAAUGGAACCAAUCUCUAAAAGGAAGCUGAAAUGGAGAGAAGCACCAGAGACAAGAUGCCUUUCUGUUUUGGAGAAACCUCGAAAAAGUAGAAUGCACAUCCACAGUAUUUAGCAAUAAUGAUCAUCUAUCAUUACAUAUAUGAACAUAAUUUAUUUAUUACUACAUUGAUAUAAUAAAGAAAUCCUAUGAUAUGCUUUUGCUAAGAUAUUAGGGCUAGCAGCAUUCAUUAAGCCAUAAAUUCCAAUAUGGAUGUAACAAGCACUUUUUUGGGGGUUCAAAGAGAUGCACUUUCUAGUCACUUCAAUAAUGACUAGAUGUGGUAUUAACUACUACCGACAUAUUGCAGGUUAUGACAAUCAAAAUACUUCGACAGGGGAUAGUUUCUUAAAUAAGAACAUGUUCGCUGAAGGUGAAGCUGUGCACAUUAAUAGUCAAGAGGAUCUAAUCAGGCAAGAAACUUCAGGAAGCACAAAAUCUGAGAUAAAUCCAAAUUCAAGUAAAGGAACAGAAAAUGAGGCAAGUGAUAUUGCUAAUAGAGAAGGAUCAAGCAGACUUGGUUAAGUAAAUAAUUUAGUUGCUCUUCGUCCUUAUUGUUCUAAACUUGAUGAGCUACUUGGUUAUGCAGGUAAAUGACCAUCCAGAAGGACCAGAAGUACCAAAACAAACUGAUGAAACGGAAAAAUGUAUAGUACAGAAGCAAGAAGAUUCCGUUCGCAACCAGGACGAACUGGCUGUUGAAGAAAAAAUGAGAUCUUGUGAAGAGGUUGAAACAAAGGUAUUAGAUGAUCUGGCUUCUAUUAAUACUCUGAUCUUUCCUGUCCAUAGACUAAUGAUAGCCAAAACUAUAACUUCAAAACAUAUAAACAAACUUAAAGAUAUAAAUGCUGGUGAUGGAAUGGAACAAAUAAAAACAUUAUGGAAAAAGAAGAAAAGACUUUGGACAAAAUUCUGACGUCCACCAAAGAAGAAAUUGGUACCAAGAACUCUGAAGAAGGCCAAGUGGUUUCAGAGAUUCCCAGUCAAGAGUUUAAGUGACCAUAGAAGCCUGUUCUUAAUUCAUAUAUGUAACUCUCAGAUAUAAAGAUGCCUUCUCUCUUUCUACUAAAAUCACAAAAUUCCCUCUUUUUCAAAUCUGCAGAACUUUCAACAAGCUAAUUUAAUCAGAGAUGAAGCUUUAUUGAAAGAUGAGCAUGGAGUCGAGAACUUCGUGGUAGUUUCUUCAGAAGAAAUUAGUUGUGAAGGCUCUAUUGAAAAGUUAAACGAAAUGAGAACCUGAGAAUGAAUCAGCCAAUUAGCAUCAAGGCACUCAUAUGACAACCAUUCACUGAGGGUCUUAAGUUUAUUGCAUGCAUAUGAAUUAUCUUGCCACCUUGUCUUUCUGGGAGAAAUAUUAAAAUUCAAGUCUGAAAGUAUUUGAAGUAUAUAGUUCGUAGUAACUACUAACUACUAUAAAUUUAAAGUUCUCCAUAUAAAACAAAAUAAGUCUUCACUUCCUUUCCCAGAGUUUUUGUUUAUUCUGUAGUUAUUGCACAAAAUGGGAAACAAUAGAUGAUAAGAUGAUAUAUACAAGAAAUAGAAAAUUAAUUCACUGCUGAUAGAGUAUAUUCUAUUGCACAAAUAUCAACCAUCUUUGCUCUUUUAUUUGUUUAUUUAUUUAUUUUGUUCGAGGCUAUUACAAGUGAGACAUCCUAGUAUCAUUGGGAUUCAUAUGCGCUUCUUUUGAAAACUAAGUCGAAACAAAAAUUAGCCAAAUGCUGACAAAUGGGUAUGACUUAUUUUUCUGAAAAAGAACGGACCAUUGACAUUGCAAAUCGAGUAUUCCUUUGAGUCUUUGAAACAAUAAGUUGCAAGGGAAGGUUUAAGCAAAUUUCAAAUAUUGCAGGUAGAUGCCUUCAUGCAUUUAUUCUGAUCAUUUUAUUGGUUUUCUUCGGCAGACUCUUUUAACAUUGACAAAAAGAAAGAUUCUUCUUGGAGAAUUAUCAGUUAAUAAAGGAAGAGGCAGUGGAAACUCUUUCUCGGGGAAUUCCAAAAUAUGACCUUAAGAGAAUUCACAUGACGUUAAGCUAGAAACCAAGGACUUAAACCACUAGGCCACGGCAACUGUAUUUCAGUUAUAAACAGGAAUCUUGCUAAAAUAAGAAGUCCCAAAAAUCAUCAUGUAGACAUCUGUUAACUUGAUAUAAUGCUCGGCAGUUGACAAUUACUAAAACCAUCUGGAGAUUAAGAUAUGAACACCUUCUUCUCUCGUUAGAAUGAUUCUUAUAUGCAUAACUCCUUGUCCUUUUCUCACCAGUGUAUGUAACAUACUAAACAAUGGUAGCACUCAAAAUAUUCUGAGCAAUCACGAUCAUUGUUGCAGAACAGUUGAGCAUGUGUAAUAACCCUAUGCGAGAUGCAACCAAAAGAAUUCCACCAUCCUAUUAGUUCCGUAUGUGUAAGGAAUUCACAUCUACUUAUCUAUUGAAAGACUAAGUGAAACUUUAAAUUCUUCUUGUAGAAUAUGCCGGUUGUAGACUCGAACGACAAGACUGACAGUGAAAUUUCAUGCAAUACCGACAAUGAUGUUGCUGACCAUCCGGCAGUUGCAGAAAAACCCGAUGAUUCAGCAGUUGAAGAGAAACCCGAGGAAUGGAUAGUUGAAGAGAAACUGGAAGAAACAGCCGUUAAGGAGAAAGCCGAAGAACCAAAAGUUGAGGAGAAACUCGAAGAACCAGCAAUUGAGGAGAAACCUGACAAACCAGCGGUUGAAGGGACACCUGAAGAACCUGCAGUGAAAGAAACACCUGAACAACCAACGUUUGAAGAGAAACCUCAAGAACCAGCAAUUCAGGAGAAACCUGAAGAACCAACAGUUGAAAAGAAACCUGAAGAACCAACAAUUGAUGAAGAACUUGAAGAACCAACAGUUGCGGAGAAACCCGAAGAACCAGCAGUUAAAGAAAAACAUGUAGAACCAGCAAUUGAAGAAAAACGUGAGGAACCACAAGUUGAAGAAAAACAUGAGGAACCAGCAGUUGAAGAAAAAACUGAAGAACCAGCAGUUGAAGAAAAACCUAAAGAACCAAAAGUUGAGGAGAAACCUAAAGAACCAGCGGCUGAGGAGAAACCCGAAGAACCAGCAGUGAAAGAAACACCUGAAGAACCAGCGGUUAAAGAGACACCUGAGGAACUAGCAGUUGAAGAGAAACCUGAAGAACCAGCAAUUGAAGAGAAACCUGAAGAACCAGUAGCUGACAAAAAACUUGAGCAACCAACAAUUGAGGAGAAACCUGAAGAAUCAAU
RNAcentral lists this long non-coding RNA (7114 nucleotides) under Nicotiana tabacum (common tobacco). RNAcentral's name for it is "long non-coding RNA (NTAB_LNC000540)". The record is from RNAcentral. Lineage: Eukaryota; Viridiplantae; Streptophyta; Magnoliopsida; Solanales; Solanaceae.